Molecule: long non-coding RNA, 142 nt
Organism: Haliotis rubra (blacklip abalone)
Lineage: Eukaryota; Metazoa; Mollusca; Gastropoda; Lepetellida; Haliotidae
Exons: 4
Source: RefSeq, a predicted model, not a curated record
CUUCAAGAGAGACGAGGCUUGCCACCACGCUGUAAUCCGUAAAGGAUCCUUGACAUUUUGCAUCCGGGAUGACAUUUGUACCUUUCCCAGAUUCAUCUUUAGUGUCCACAUUAUCUUGACCGUCGCCCAGUUGAUUAUGAAG